GUCCACGCCGUAAACGAUGUCAACUAGCCGUUGGGAGCGUUGAGCUCUUAGUGGCGCAGCUAACGCAUUAAGUUGACCGCCUGGGAGUACGGCCGCAAGGUUAAACUCAAAUGAAUUGACGGGGCCCGCACAAGCGGUGGAGCAUGUGGUUUAAUUCGAAGCAACGCGAAGAACCUUACCAGGCCUUGACAUCCAAUGAACUUUCUAGAGAUAGAUUGGUGCCUUCGGGAACAUUGAGACAGGUGCUGCAUGGCUGUCGU
Molecule: ribosomal RNA, 260 nt
Filed under: uncultured bacterium
Lineage: Bacteria
Description: partial 16S ribosomal RNA
Rfam family: Bacterial small subunit ribosomal RNA
Source: RNAcentral